UUGAACGCUGGCGGCAGGCCUAACACAUGCCAGUCGAGCGGAUGAAGGGAGCUUGCUCCUGGAUUCAGCGGCGGACGGGUGAGUAAUGCCUAGGAAUCUGCCUGGUAGUGGGGGAUAACGUCCGGAAACGGGCGCUAAUACCGCAUACGUCCUGAGGGAGAAAGUGGGGGAUCUUCGGACCUCACGCUAUCAGAUGAGCCUAGGUCGGAUUAGCUAGUUGGUGGGGUAAAGGCCUACCAAGGCGACGAUCCGUAACUGGUCUGAGAGGAUGAUCAGUCACACUGGAACUGAGACAAGGUCCAGACUCCUAAGGGAGGCAGCAGUGGGGAAUAUUGGACAAUGGGCGAAAGCCUGAUCCAGCCAUGCCGCGUGUGUGAAGAAGGUCUUCGGAUUGUAAAGCACUUUAAGUUGGGAGGAAGGGCAGUAAGUUAAUACCUUGCUGUUUUGACGUUACCAACAGAAUAAGCACCGGCUAACUUCGUG
This 483-nucleotide ribosomal RNA is filed under the name uncultured bacterium. RNAcentral's name for it is "partial 16S ribosomal RNA". It matches the Rfam family "Bacterial small subunit ribosomal RNA", at positions 30 to 507 of the family's 1533-position model. The record is from RNAcentral.